GGGGGUGAACGGUUUCGACUCUGGACGUUGAUUCAGGGGAAGCGUGCCGGUGCAGGCGAGAGACCACCGUUAAGCGUCGUCGCACUUUAUAAGCGCCAAGACGAAUAGUCAGCGCGACUUCGCCCUCGCUGCCUAAGCGAGCGCGAGUCUGUCGGUCUGGGAGCGCCUCCGGCCCAGUAACCGGCAUCAGCUAGGAGGACUUACCGCCGAGGUCGGCCGCGGACCUCGGCGGGACAUCGAACAGCGGCUGGGCCCGUCACAUCGGCUUGUUCGCGUGACCGGUGGGGCCAAGUAGAGACACAGCGAACUGCGCACGGAGAAGCCCUGUUGAGGCGACAGAGGACCCGGGUUCGAUUCCCGGCACCUCCACGC
The sequence is a non-coding RNA, 372 nucleotides long. It matches the Rfam family "transfer-messenger RNA". From Rfam's summary of the family: Bacterial tmRNA, also known as 10Sa RNA or SsrA, is named for its dual tRNA and mRNA-like properties. Its role is to liberate the mRNA from a stalled ribosome. To accomplish this part of the tmRNA is used as a reading frame that ends in a translation stop signal. The record is from Rfam.